ACCUGUAGUGCAUUGUAUAGCGCGUUGGACUUUUAAUCCAAAGGUCAUGGGUCUAAAUCCUAUCUGGGAUU
Molecule: non-coding RNA, 71 nt
Organism: Trichonephila clavipes
Lineage: Eukaryota; Metazoa; Arthropoda; Arachnida; Araneae; Nephilidae
Source: the annotation of a GenBank genome assembly